RNAcentral lists this ribosomal RNA (1194 nucleotides) under Pseudarthrobacter scleromae. Its description in RNAcentral is "bacterial SSU rRNA". It matches the Rfam family "Bacterial small subunit ribosomal RNA", at positions 56 to 1261 of the family's 1533-position model. The record is from RNAcentral. Lineage: Bacteria; Bacillati; Actinomycetota; Actinomycetes; Micrococcales; Micrococcaceae.
UGCAGUCGAACGAUGAUCCGGUGCUUGCAUCGGGGAUUAGUGGCGAACGGGUGAGUAACACGUGAGUAACCUGCCCUUGACUCUGGGAUAAGCCUGGGAAACUGGGUCUAAUACCGGAUAUGACUCCUCAUCGCAUGGUGGGGGGUGGAAAGCUUUUUGUGGUUUUGGAUGGACUCGCGGCCUAUCAGCUUGUUGGUGAGGUAAUGGCUUACCAAGGCGACGACGGGUAGCCGGCCUGAGAGGGUGACCGGCCACACUGGGACUGAGACACGGCCCAGACUCCUACGGGAGGCAGCAGUGGGGAAUAUUGCACAAUGGGCGAAAGCCUGAUGCAGCGACGCCGCGUGAGGGAUGACGGCCUUCGGGUUGUAAACCUCUUUCAGUAGGGAAGAAGCGAAAGKGACGGUACCUGCAGAAGAAGCGCCGGCUAACUACGUGCCAGCAGCCGCGGUAAUACGUAGGGCGCAAGCGUUAUCCGGAAUUAUUGGGCGUAAAGAGCUCGUAGGCGGUUUGUCGCGUCUGCCGUGAAAGUCCGGGGCUCAACUCCGGAUCUGCGGUGGGUACGGGCAGACUAGAGUGAUGUAGGGGAGACUGGAAUUCCUGGUGUAGCGGUGAAAUGCGCAGAUAUCAGGAGGAACACCGAUGGCGAAGGCAGGUCUCUGGGCAUUAACUGACGCUGAGGAGCGAAAGCAUGGGGAGCGAACAGGAUUAGAUACCCUGGUAGUCCAUGCCGUAAACGUUGGGCACUAGGUGUGGGGGACAUUCCACGUUUUUCCGCGCCGUAGCUAACGCAUUAAGUGCCCCGCCUGGGGAGUACGGCCGCAAGGCUAAAACUCAAAGGAAUUGACGGGGGCCCGCACAAGCGGCGGAGCAUGCGGAUUAAUUCGAUGCAACGCGAAGAACCUUACCAAGGCUUGACAUGGACUGGAAAUACCUGGAAACAGGUGCCCCGCUUGCGGUCGGUUCACAGGUGGUGCAUGGUUGUCGUCAGCUCGUGUCGUGAGAUGUUGGGUUAAGUCCCGCAACGAGCGCAACCCUCGUUCUAUGUUGCCAGCGCGUAAUGGCGGGGACUCAUAGGAGACUGCCGGGGUCAACUCGGAGGAAGGUGGGGACGACGUCAAAUCAUCAUGCCCCUUAUGUCUUGGGCUUCACGCAUGCUACAAUGGCCGGUACAAAGGGUUGCGAUACUGUGAG